This 396-nucleotide ribosomal RNA is filed under the name uncultured bacterium. Its description in RNAcentral is "bacterial SSU rRNA". It matches the Rfam family "Bacterial small subunit ribosomal RNA", at positions 505 to 898 of the family's 1533-position model. The record is from RNAcentral.
GUGUCAGCCGCCGCGGUAAUACGGGGGGAGCAAGCGUUGUUCGGAUUUACUGGGCGUAAAGGGCGCGUAGGCGGCGUGACAAGUCACUUGUGAAAUCUCCGGGCUUAACCCGGAGCGGCCAAGUGAUACUGUCGUGCUAGAGUGCGGAAGGGGCUACUGGAAUUCUCGGUGUAGCGGUGAAAUGCGUAGAUAUCGAGAGGAACACCUGCGGCGAAGGCGGGUAGCUGGGCCGACACUGACGCUGAGGCGCGAAAGCCAGGGGAGCGAACGGGAUUAGAUACCCCGGUAGUCCUGGCCUUAAACGAUGGAUACUUGGUGUCCGGGGUUACAUAGUCCCCGGGUGCCGGCGCUAACGCAUUAAGUAUCCCGCCUGGGGAGUACGGUCGCAAGACUGAA